This 492-nucleotide ribosomal RNA is filed under the name uncultured bacterium. RNAcentral's name for it is "partial 16S ribosomal RNA". It matches the Rfam family "Bacterial small subunit ribosomal RNA", at positions 29 to 507 of the family's 1533-position model. The record is from RNAcentral.
AGUGAACGCUGGCGGUAGGCCUAACACAUGCAAGUCGAACGGCAGCACAGUAAGAGCUUGCUCUUACGGGUGGCGAGUGGCGGACGGGUGAGGAAUACAUCGGAAUCUACUUUUUCGUGGGGGAUAACGUAGGGAAACUUACGCUAAUACCGCAUACGACCUACGGGUGAAAGCAGGGGAUCUUCGGACCUUGCGCGAUUGAAUGAGCCGAUGUCGGAUUAGCUAGUUGGCGGGGUAAAGGCCCACCAAGGCGACGAUCCGUAGCUGGUCUGAGAGGAUGAUCAGCCACACUGGAACUAGGACACGGUCCAGACUCCUACGGGAGGCAGCAGUGGGGAAUAUUGGACAAUGGUCGCAAGCCUGAUCCAGCCAUACCGCGUGGGUGAAGAAGGCCUUCGGGUUGUAAAGCCCUUUUGUUGGGAAAGAAAAGCAGCAGGUUAAUACCCCGCUGUUCUGACGGUACCCAAAGAAUAAGCACCGGCUAACUUCGUG